RNAcentral lists this ribosomal RNA (555 nucleotides) under uncultured bacterium. RNAcentral describes it as "bacterial SSU rRNA". It matches the Rfam family "Bacterial small subunit ribosomal RNA", at positions 59 to 605 of the family's 1533-position model. The record is from RNAcentral.
CAGUCGAGGGGCAUCAGGAAGAAGCUUGCUUUCUUUGCUGGCGACCGGCGCACGGGUGAGUAACACGUAUCCAACCUGCCCUUUACUCGGGGAUAGCCUUUCGAAAGAAAGAUUAAUACCCGAUGGGAUAAUCAUUCCGCAUGGUUUGAUUAUUAAAGGAUUCCGGUAAAGGAUGGGGAUGCGUUCCAUUAGGUUGUUGGUGAGGUAACGGCCCACCAAGCCUUCGAUGGAUAGGGGUUCUGAGAGGAAGGUCCCCCACAUUGGAACUGAGACACGGUCCAAACUCCUACGGGAGGCAGCAGUGAGGAAUAUUGGUCAAUGGGCGCGAGCCUGAACCAGCCAAGUAGCGUGAAGGAUGACUGCCCUAUGGGUUGUAAACUUCUUUUAUAUUAGAAUAAAGUGCAGUAUGUAUACUGUUUUGUAUGUAUAAUAUGAAUAAGGAUCGGCUAACUCCGUGCCAGCAGCCGCGGUAAUACGGAGGAUCCGAGCGUUAUCCGGAUUUAUUGGGUUUAAAGGGAGCGUAGGUGGACUGGUAAGUCAGUUGUGAAAGUUUGC